GACGAACGCUGGCGGCGUGCCUAAUACAUGCAAGUAGAACGCACAGUUUAUACCGUAGCUUGCUACACCAUAGACUGUGAGUUGCGAACGGGUGAGUAACGCGUAGGUAACCUGCCUGGUAGCGGGGGAUAACUAUUGGAAACGAUAGCUAAUACCGCAUAAUAUUAAUUAUUGCAUGAUAAUUGAUUGAAAGAUGCAACUGCAUCACUACCAGAUGGACCUGCGUUGUAUUAGCUAGUAGGUGAGGUAACGGCUCACCUAGGCGACGAUACAUAGCCGACCGGAGAGGGUGAUCGGCCACACUGGGACUGAGACACGGCCCAGACUCCUACGGGAGGCAGCAGUAGUGAAUCUUCGGCAAUGGACGAAAGUCUGACCGAGCAACGCCGCGUGAGUGAAGAAGGGUGUCGGAUCGUAAAGCUCUGUUGUAAGAGAAGAACGGGUGUGAGAGUGGAAAGUUCACACUGUGACGGUAUCUUACCAGAAAGGGACGGCUAACUACGUG
Molecule: ribosomal RNA, 505 nt
Filed under: uncultured bacterium
Lineage: Bacteria
Description: partial 16S ribosomal RNA
Rfam family: Bacterial small subunit ribosomal RNA
Source: RNAcentral